This is a non-coding RNA of Cerrena zonata, 81 nucleotides long. The record is from the annotation of a GenBank genome assembly. NCBI's taxonomy places the organism in Eukaryota, Fungi, Basidiomycota, Agaricomycetes, Polyporales, Cerrenaceae.
GCACUAAUGGGGUAGUGGUAACCUGGGUCGUUGCCAUUAAGCUAUCUCGACCCGCCGGGGGUUCGAUUCCCUCUUAGUGCA